Molecule: unclassified non-coding RNA, 221 nt
Filed under: uncultured fungus
Lineage: Eukaryota; Fungi
Description: sequence contains ITS1, 5.8S rRNA gene
Source: RNAcentral
ACGAGUUUUAAACAAAAAUGGGUGUGGCUGUAGCUGGUCUUUCUUCACGGAGAGACAUGUGCACGCCUCGCUUGUUUUUCCACCUCUCACACCUUUGUGCACUUUCUCACAGGCUGGACUGAAGACUUUCGUCUUCGUCCUGUCUGUGUGCUUUGAACCACAAACUUUUUGUCAGUUUUGGAAUGUACUUGCUUGUGCAACAAAAUUGCAUACUUUAAAUA